RNAcentral lists this ribosomal RNA (253 nucleotides) under uncultured bacterium. Its description in RNAcentral is "partial 16S ribosomal RNA". It matches the Rfam family "Bacterial small subunit ribosomal RNA", at positions 524 to 776 of the family's 1533-position model. The record is from RNAcentral.
UACGGGGGGGGCAAGCGUUAAUCGGAAUUACUGGGCGUAAAGCGUGCGCAGGCGGUUUCGUAAGUCUGUCGUGAAAUCCCCGGGCUCAACCUGGGAACUGCAUUUGUGACUGCAUAGCUAGAGUACGGCAGAGGGGGAUGGAAUUCCGCGUGUAGCAGUGAAAUGCGUAGAUAUGCGGAGGAACACCGAUGGCGAAGGCAAUCCCCUGGGCCUGUACUGACGCUCAUGCACGAAAGCGUGGGGAGCAAACAGG